This 350-nucleotide long non-coding RNA is filed under the name Bos taurus (domestic cattle). RNAcentral's name for it is "long non-coding RNA NONBTAT007566". The record is from RNAcentral. Lineage: Eukaryota; Metazoa; Chordata; Mammalia; Artiodactyla; Bovidae.
UUCACUUCAGUUUUGUUAUGGGAGAAAUAGGUGAAGUCUUUAACAUUCAAUCUAUUGUUAGAAAAUGGAGAAAGGAAAAAUCACUGUCUAUUCAAUUAUCUUUUUUCUGCUUUAAAACUGAAUGAGGAGUUCUGUGACAGAUUUGAAGAAGAAUCUAAAGCAGAUUAGAGAGCUAGCUUUUUUUCCCCUGUAUCUUAAUCCUUAAAUGGAAUUUAGCUCUUAUUUAUUAUUUGUAUUGUCUUUGCUUUAGUAAGGAGGUUGUUUCGCAUUCAGUCACAAAGUACAAUAAGAAGACCCUUUAAAAGAUGCACUGUGCUAGGUGUCUGCUCUGUGUCUCUGGUGUUUGGUAU